UUAAAAUUUGUUAAAGAGGUAUCAGUGUGACUGGUUUUUAAAAAAUAAUAUUAUUCAAACUUUUUUUAGUUUAUUCUUUUUUUAUAAGUUCAAUGGUGUUGUGAAUGAAAAGAACACUAUAUAACUAUCAGCGUCAGAAUCGCACCUCUAUAUACAUCUGCAUUAAGAAGGCAAAAAUCCAAUGCACGAGUACUGAACCACGUCACGAUUCAUACGUUAUGACUUUAGAAAAGUAUACUACUGUUGCCUUUAUACGACCAAAAGGAACACAAUAGCAUAAUGACAAUACCGCAUACGAUAAACAUCUUGUAAAAUAUAAAUGCAGGGGUAUACCAUACCAUCGAAUAAAUGAGGGCACAG
This 360-nucleotide long non-coding RNA is filed under the name Mytilus galloprovincialis (Mediterranean mussel). Lineage: Eukaryota; Metazoa; Mollusca; Bivalvia; Mytilida; Mytilidae. The record is from RNAcentral.